UACGGAGGGUGCAAGCGUUAUCCGGAUUUACUGGGUUUAAAGGGUGCGUAGGCGGAUAGGUAAGUCAGGGGUGAAAUCUUCGAGCUUAACUCGGAAAUUGCCUUUGAUACUAUCUAUCUUGAAUAUUGUGGAGGUAAGCGGAAUAUGUCAUGUAGCGGUGAAAUGCUUAGAGAUGACAUAGAACACCUAUUGCGAAGGCAGCUUACUACGCAUAUAUUGACGCUGAGGCACGAAAGCGUGGGGAUCAAACAGG
Molecule: ribosomal RNA, 253 nt
Filed under: uncultured bacterium
Lineage: Bacteria
Description: partial 16S ribosomal RNA
Rfam family: Bacterial small subunit ribosomal RNA
Source: RNAcentral